GUGCUCCACCGCGACAUCAAGGCCAGCAACAUCAUGCUCGACCCGGCCUUCCGCGGCCGCCUCGGCGACUUCGGCCUCGCGCGGGUCGUCGGCUUAGACAAGAACUCCUUCACCGACAUCGGCGUCGCGGGCACCUGGGGCUUCAUCGCGCCGGAGUACCCCGUCAGCCACAAGGCCACCCGGCAGACCGACGUCUACGCGUUCGGGGUGCUGGUCCUCGAGGUCGUCACCGGCAGGAGGUCCCUCGGCAAAGCGGACGACGAGUUCCCGCUGCUGGUCGAUUGGGUUUGGUGGCUCCAUCAAGAGGGGAGGCUGCUGGACGCGGGGUUGGACGCCGACGAUGCCGCCCGGCUGCUGCUCCUUGGCCUGUCAUGCAGCAACCCGAACCCAUCGGACCGGCCGACCCUGGCCAACGUGCUGCAGGUUGUCGCGAAGACGGCGCCGCUGCCGGACGUGCCGCUGGUGAAGCCCGCGUUUGUGUGGCCGCCGGAGGGGGCGUUACUGGACGACGACGUUGAUGAUGGUUUUGCGGGGACGAGCCGUGAUGAUUCUCGGUACUGGGAGGAGGAGACCAUGCCGAGCUUCAUGUCGUCGGAGAUCACCAAGCGCAGCCACUCCGCAGAUUCUGGGAGGCGAUGGAUUGCCGAACAGGGCCUUAAAUACGUAUAA
Molecule: ribosomal RNA, 669 nt
Filed under: Triticum aestivum (bread wheat)
Lineage: Eukaryota; Viridiplantae; Streptophyta; Magnoliopsida; Poales; Poaceae
Description: partial small subunit ribosomal RNA
Source: RNAcentral